RNAcentral lists this ribosomal RNA (1134 nucleotides) under Triticum aestivum (bread wheat). RNAcentral's name for it is "partial small subunit ribosomal RNA". The record is from RNAcentral. Lineage: Eukaryota; Viridiplantae; Streptophyta; Magnoliopsida; Poales; Poaceae.
AUGGUGAUUCCCGCCACCUGGACCAUGGAGGUCGAAGACGGCCAACGGAGUGAGCGCAUCCAGCGCCUGGGCCGCGCACCGGUGGCCGACCUGGGCUGUCGGGGCGCGCCGCGCAACAGGCGCAACCACGACGACGACGUGGGUGGCGCCGAUGGUGGGGGGCGCCGCUCCUGGAAAGACGCGCUGCUGCGUCACGGGCGCACACCGUCGCAGCAGCCGCAGGCGCCGGUGCCCGUGCGCCGCCACCGUAGCUGCUCCCCGGCACCUAGGCGCCACCACAUGGCUGCCCACGGUCGACGCGCGGGUGACAAGAGGCCGUCUGCGAGCAAUGCCAAGCGGAGCCAGCGCUGCCACCCUUCCCCACGCUCUCCGCGGGCGGCGGCAGGCUCGGAACCGACGCAGAACGACAUCUGCAGCGACAAAGGAAAAGAUCCAGUUGAAGACUUCUUCAGAGAAGCCAAGCGACCCAUCCUCGCCUCGAUGAUCGUCGACAACGCGGCGGCGGACGUCCAAGCCGCGGCGGACGCCGUGGUCGCGGCCCCCCUGGACUUCGACAACAACAUGCACACGGGGGGAGCCGCGACUGAGGCUCAGCUCGUCGCCUUCGGCCCCACGCUCGCCUCCCCCUCCCAAGCAUCGGGCCAGUUCAACAGAUGCGCCCCCACGCAAGCCUGCACGCUGGAGAUGCAGCUUGGCGCGGUCACCUACCACGUCUGCCAGCUCGAGAUCGCCAACGACAACAAAGACAACCACCCCCAGAUCACCCGCCGCCUGUUCGUCGACGCCCCAGCACCGAUCAUCGCCAACGCCCCCCCACGCCGCCCCUCUGCUCCACCCAAGGCGCGCGCGCCUUCAGUGCCCACCAGACAGAGAGCUCGUCAGGCUGCGAGCAACUGCAAGACGCCGGUCUCCCAGCGCGCCUCCCUUCGCAUCGUAAAGGAGCUUGGGCUACUCGGGCCAAAGGACAAGAUGACCAAGGAGGUGGCCGAUGCGCUCAUCCGCCGUUUCGAUGAGCCCCUCACCGACAACGACAUUGCCGUCAUCGCCAAGCUGACGCGUCUCGACAAGGAUUCUCCCCUCAUCGCUGCAGGUCUUGCGGGACCUGAUGGAGCCGCCAAUGUGGCCUCAGUUUAG